CAUAUAUAUAUAUAUAUAUAUAUAUAUAUAUAUAUAUAUAUAUGAUUAUUGCACUAGAUUGAACGCCUAAAAAGUACAAUGCUGAUGAAUUGAGUUUGGAGAUUCGUGUAAACGUUUGAGGGAUGAUGAAGAUAUGGAGUUGGCUACGAUAGUUGCGGGUUUUAUUGUGGAAGUAGCAGCGGCAUUAUGUGGUGGUUGCGUGGAUAUUUCCGAGCAACGUAGGAGAUUGGUGGGACAGACAAGUUUGCCAAAGUUAUUGAUUUUCUUCGCCGCCAACUUUGCAUGGAGACAUUGGUAGAUAGUAGAUGCUCAACAAUUUUUUUUCUUUUUAGUUGAAUAAUUCUCUGGACUUGGAUUAAUUGCUCCUUUUGUUUUUCCUUCUUCCAGUUUGUGUAUAUUAGUAGUACUUUCUCUCCUAACUCGGAUGAACUGGUGAAUGAUCUAUAUAACGUAAGUUAUGUUGGCUAAUUAUAUAUAUGUAUAUAAUGUAAAUUAUGUUGGCUAGUUUUAUA
Molecule: long non-coding RNA, 512 nt
Organism: Daucus carota subsp. sativus
Lineage: Eukaryota; Viridiplantae; Streptophyta; Magnoliopsida; Apiales; Apiaceae
Exons: 2
Source: RefSeq, a predicted model, not a curated record